UGGCUCAGAUUGAACGCUGGCGGUAUGCUUAACACAUGCAAGUCGAACGGAAACGAUGGAAGCUUGCUUCCAGGCGUCGAGUGGCGGACGGGGGAGUAAUACUUAGGAAUCUGCCCAGUAGUGGGGGACAACACGGGGAAACUCGUGCUAAUACCGCAUACGCCUUACGAGGGAAAGUGGGGGAUCUUCGGACCUCACGCUAUUGGAUGAGCCUAAGUCGGAUUAGCUUUUUGGGGGGGUAACGGCCUACCAAGGCGACGAUCCGUAGCUGGUCUGAGAGGACGAUCAGCCACACUGGGACUGAGACACGGCCCAGACUCCUACGGGAGGCAGCAGUGGGGAAUAUUGGACAAUGGGGGCAACCCUGAUCCAGCAAUACCGCGUGUGUGAAGAAGGCCUGCGGGUUUUAAAGCACUUUCAGUAGAGAAGAAAAAACCAAAGGCUAAUAACCUUCGGUCUUGACGUAACCUACAGAAGAAGCACCGGCUAACUCCGUGCCAGCAGCCGCGGUAAUACGGAGGGGGCAAGCGUUAAUCGGAAUUACUGGGCGUAAAGCGCGCGUAGGCGGUCUGGUCAGUCGGAUGUGAAAGCCCUGGGCUUAACCUGGGAAUUGCAUUCGAUACUGCCAAACUAGAAUGUUGGAGAGGGAAGUGGAAUUUCCGGGGUAGCGGGGAAAUGCGUAGAUAUCGGAAGGAACACCAGUGGCGAAGGCGGCUUCCUGGCCAAACAUUGACGCUGAGGGGCGAAAGCGUGGGUAGCGAACAGGAUUAGAUACCCUGGUAGUCCACGCCGUAAACGAUGAGAACUAGAUGUCGGGAGGGUUUAGCCUCUCGGGGUCGCAGCUAACGCGUUAAGUUUUCCGCCUGGGGAGUACGGGGGCAACACUAAAACUCAAGGAAUUGACGG
RNAcentral lists this ribosomal RNA (906 nucleotides) under uncultured Gammaproteobacteria bacterium. RNAcentral's name for it is "bacterial SSU rRNA". It matches the Rfam family "Bacterial small subunit ribosomal RNA", at positions 20 to 916 of the family's 1533-position model. The record is from RNAcentral. Lineage: Bacteria; Pseudomonadati; Pseudomonadota; Gammaproteobacteria.